AUUGAACGCUGGCGGCAGGCCUAACACAUGCAAGUCGAGCGGUAGCACAGAGAGCUUGCUCUCGGGUGACGAGCGGCGGACGGGUGAGUAAUGUCUGGGAAACUGCCUGAUGGAGGGGGAUAACUACUGGAAACGGUAGCUAAUACCGCAUAAUGUCGCAAGACCAAAGUGGGGGACCUUCGGGCCUCAUGCCAUCAGAUGUGCCCAGAUGGGAUUAGCUAGUAGGUGGGGUAACGGCUCACCUAGGCGACGAUCCCUAGCUGGUCUGAGAGGAUGACCAGCCACACUGGAACUGAGACACGGUCCAGACUCCUACGGGAGGCAGCAGUGGGGAAUAUUGCACAAUGGGCGCAAGCCUGAUGCAGCCAUGCCGCGUGUGUGAAGAAGGCCUUCGGGUUGUAAAGCACUUUCAGCGGGGAGGAAGGCGGUGAGGUUAAUAACCUCAUCGAUUGACGUUACCCGCAGAAGAAGCACCGGCUAACUCCGUGCCAGCAGCCGCGGUAAUACGGAGGGUGCAAGCGUUAAUCGGAAUUACUGGGCGUAAAGCGCACGCAGGCGGUCUGUCAAGUCGGAUGUGAAAUCCCCGGGCUCAACCUGGGAACUGCAUUCGAAACUGGCAGGCUAGAGUCUUGUAGAGGGGGGUAGAAUUCCAGGUGUAGCGGUGAAAUGCGUAGAGAUCUGGAGGAAUACCGGUGGCGAAGGCGGCCCCCUGGACAAAGACUGACGCUCAGGUGCGAAAGCGUGGGGAGCAAACAGGAUUAGAUACCCUGGUAGUCCACGCCGUAAACGAUGUCGAUUUGGAGGUUGUGCCCUUGAGGCGUGGCUUCCGGAGCUAACGCGUUAAAUCGACCGCCUGGGGAGUACGGCCGCAAGGUUAAAACCCAAAUGAAUUGACGGGGGCCCGCACAAGCGGUGGAGCAUGUGGUUUAAUUCGAUGCAACGCGAAGAACCUUACCUGGUCUUGACAUCCACAGAACUUUCCAGAGAUGGAUUGGUGCCUUCGGGAACUGUGAGACAGGUGCUGCAUGGCUGUCGUCAGCUCGUGUUGUGAAAUGUUGGGUUAAGUCCCGCAACGAGCGCAACCCUUAUCCUUUGUUGCCAGCGGUCCGGCCGGGAACUCAAAGGAGACUGCCAGUGAUAAACUGGAGGAAGGUGGGGAUGACGUCAAGUCAUCAUGGCCCUUACGACCAGGGCUACACACGUGCUACAAUGGCAUAUACAAAGAGAAGCGACCUCGCGAGAGCAAGCGGACCUCAUAAAGUAUGUCGUAGUCCGGAUUGGAGUCUGCAACUCGACUCCAUGAAGUCGGAAUCGCUAGUAAUCGUAGAUCAGAAUGCUACGGUGAAUACGUUCCCGGGCCUUGUACACACCGCCCGUCACACCAUGGGAGUGGGUUGCAAAAGAAGUAGGUAGCUUAACCUUCGGGAGGGCGCUUACCACUUUGUGAUUCAUGACUGGGGUGA
RNAcentral lists this ribosomal RNA (1463 nucleotides) under uncultured Klebsiella sp. RNAcentral describes it as "bacterial SSU rRNA". It matches the Rfam family "Bacterial small subunit ribosomal RNA". The record is from RNAcentral. Lineage: Bacteria; Pseudomonadati; Pseudomonadota; Gammaproteobacteria; Enterobacterales; Enterobacteriaceae.